UAUUGAACAUUGCCCUUCAUAUGCAAAGUACACCUCUCAGCGUACUAGCAAUGCAAUAUGCUGUUAUAUGAAGUUGUUACUUCUAAAUAAUUCCCUAUUUAUACCUGAACCUGACUGUUUUUUAUGCAGUUUUUCGAUAUGAGCUCUCUACAGACAACAAUACUCCAGGGGUGCCUACUGCCUACUCAACAAUGGUUACCUCAGAGUUCCAACAUCCAAGGUGUACCAUACGUGGAAACUCAAGAACCUAGUUCUAUGUUCUCUGAUAUUAUCAGAAACGCACAAGGCACUAGCACAUCUCGUCAUGGGAAUCCAUUUGCGUAGACAGAUAUCGGCCAAGGCAACGUGACCGCUGCUAGUGAUACCAUGGAUGCUUGCAAGUUUUGAUAGUGCACUGACAAAACUUGUUGUUCCCUUCUUUCUUGUCAUGAGUUUACGAGCAAACUGGAAUAUUUAAACAGUUGUUCUCUUCUAUCUUUUCUUUCACAUUUUCCUCUCUUUCCAUUGUGUUUCUUUUUUUCCUUCAUAGAUUACAAGCAAACUGGAAUAUGUAAACAUGUCUUUGAGUGUUGACUUAGAAAUGGAAAUGAAUGUAACUAUUUUGCAGUGGGAGCAAAUUUUUUGUU
Asparagus officinalis (garden asparagus) is the source of this 626-nucleotide long non-coding RNA. RefSeq lists it as uncharacterized. The record is from RefSeq and is a predicted model, not a curated record. The transcript is spliced from 3 exons. Lineage: Eukaryota; Viridiplantae; Streptophyta; Magnoliopsida; Asparagales; Asparagaceae.